This is a non-coding RNA of Oncorhynchus mykiss (rainbow trout), 2003 nucleotides long. The record is from RefSeq and is a predicted model, not a curated record. NCBI's taxonomy places the organism in Eukaryota, Metazoa, Chordata, Actinopteri, Salmoniformes, Salmonidae.
UACCGCAAUUCCGCGGGGCGUCCGCAAGGUCUGAGCAAGAGCCCUCUUUUCUGGGGUUUAACAAUGCUACGCAUCCUACAAUCCUACAAUUCUACACAUUUUGCCAUGAGGCUGAGAGAAAAUGUUGCUGUUUUAAAGCUAAUUUCAGUACUUGUUCCAUUUACAACUUGUUUUAGUCCUCUGGUCUACUGAUUUCAGCCACUGCAUGCUGUGACAUGGACUGGAUGGUGACACAUCUUCUUCAAACUUCCUGAUUGAAUACUGGGGUCUUCAGUGGUUCCAGAAGCAAGGCACUUACCGUGGAGUACAGCCACAUUCUCUUUCUGUCUCACAGCCAUUCUGUCAACAUGUAUUGUAUGUAACCACUCAAAGUCAUGCAAACCUCUACAGAUGUGAGCGCUGACAUAUUCACUCUGUCCAAUUCUUUAAUCUUGUCUGGGAUACACACCGAGUAUAACAAACAUUAGCAACUCCUUCCAAAUAUUGAGUUGAAUCCCCCCCAUUUUGCCCUAAGAACAGACUCAAUUCAUCGGGGUAUGGACUCUACAAAGUGUCGAAAGCAUUCCACGGGAAUGCUGGCCCAUGUUGACUCCAAAGGACCCCACAGCUGUCAAGUUGGCUGGAUGUCAUUUGGGGGGUGGACCAUUCUUGAUACACAUGAGAAACUGAUACACACAGGAAACAACCCAGCAGCGUGUCCGUUCUUAAAACAAACCGGUGAGCCUGGCACCUACUACCAUACCCCGUUCAAAGACACUUAAAACUUUUGUCUUCUCUAUUCACCCUCUGAAUGGCACAAUCCAUGUCUCAAUUGUCUCAAGGUAUAAAACUCCUUCUUUAAUCGGUCUCCUCCCCUUCAUCUACACUGAUUGAAGUGGAUUUAACAAGUGACAUCAAUAAGGAGUUAUAGCUUUCACCUGGAUUCACCUGGUCAGUCUGUGGAAAGAGCAGGUGUUCUUAAUGUUUUAUAUACUCAGUGUAUGUUUUAGUUGAGAUACCUGUAUGACAUACACUAAUGAAAAUGUAUUCACUCUGGACAUGAGACUUUAUUUUAGACCUUUUAAAUAUUGAAAGUCACUGAGGUCUUCAGUAAGGCUAUUAUACUGCCAAUGUUUGUCUAUGGUGAUUGCAUGAAUAGCCGAAUCCACUAAUUUGAAGGAGUGUCCACAUACUUUUGUAUAUAGAGUGUCUCUCCAAUUUACAAUGUCCGAUUGAAAAACAAAGUGACAUAUCAGAUUCAUACAUGUACUUCUCAUUUUAUAUAUAAUAUUUUUGUAUUUAUUAUUUUAUUAUUAUGAUUAUUUAUUUAAUAAUGCAUUUUUAAAAUAUAUUUUUGGAGGUGAAACAUGGGCUUUAAUAAUGUAGUAUUACUAUUGUUAUUGUUGGUCCCGUGUAUCUCAGUUAGUAGAACAUGAUGCUUGCAACGCCAGGGUUGUGGGUUUGAUUCCCAUGGAGAACCAGUAUGAAGUUGUAUGCCCUCACUGGAUAAGAUUGUCUACUUAAAUGUUAUUAUUGUGUUGUAUGGCAACAUACUACAAUUAAAAUAAUGUGUCCCUCUGUUCGUGUAUUGCCCAACUGUUAGCUCAAGCUGUAGAAGACCUCACUUCCUCCAGAUUCUGUCUUGUUUUGGAUGCAGGUCUGCUGCAGGGGGGGAGUGCUCCAACCUCUCCUCAGAGGUGUGAAGUAUCUGUUUACAUGACACACCUCUGAUCUCUCAUGGGACCUUUGACCCGCCAAUCAUCACCCCUGACCCUGGCCUGGGCAUAUCAGAACAUUAGGCCGGGACGGAUAUAUAAGGGGUCAGCCAACCCAAGCCGGGGUCAUGUCAGUCUCACUUUUCCAGAGAAAGGAUUACAUCACAAAGAGCUCAACUUUUUCCAUGGACUCAUUCCUACAUGAACUGGAUUACAAAAUCGGAAACUCCCUGGUGUGUUGUGAAGAAAAAAUAAUUAAUUCACCAUAAAGCUGUGUGUGUCUGAAGUAUAAUAAAAUGUUCAAAUUGA